This is a non-coding RNA of Pelobates cultripes (western spadefoot toad), 209 nucleotides long. NCBI's taxonomy places the organism in Eukaryota, Metazoa, Chordata, Amphibia, Anura, Pelobatidae. The record is from the annotation of a GenBank genome assembly.
CUGGUGACCUCUCCUCCCCCGCCGAUGUCAGUUCCCGAGUAGAGCAGAAUGCGCACAUUCAAACAGUCCAUAGGAAAGCAUUUCGUAAUGCUUUCCUAUGGACGUUCUGCACCCUGGAUGCGAAUUUCGCAUCCAGCGUCUCAGAAGCGCCUCUAGCGGCUGUCAGUAAGACAGCCACUAGAGGUUGGAUUAACCCUGCAAAACCUGGA